Long non-coding RNA from Serinus canaria (Common canary), 1249 nucleotides. RefSeq lists it as uncharacterized. The record is from RefSeq and is a predicted model, not a curated record. Lineage: Eukaryota; Metazoa; Chordata; Aves; Passeriformes; Fringillidae. The transcript is spliced from 5 exons.
GUCUGAAAAGUGGCAAAUUUCAGGGGAAAUGUCAUUCUUGCCGGGGAGAAGUGUUCGGAUAUACUCUCUUUCUCCGGGUGAGGAAGAAUUUCUCUGAGCAUAAUCCUAAGCAGACCACCGCCGAGCACUACAGGGCCUGUAUGUGUAACCAUGUAGUGUCUGCACACAUAAAGCUGUGUAUGUGCGAAGCCUCAUAAUGUAAAAGUUGUAAGAUGCUAACGUCUUAGGUGGCUGACAGCUGAGCCGCUGGAAGUACAGAGUAGGAGAGGGAGAGAGAGACAAAGAUACAUCUGAACUGUCAAAUUCCCCCAGCAGCUAUAAGGGUUUAAACGUGCAUUUUGUGCCUUAGGACCAUAUAUCUCAGAGAAGCGUGAGCCUGCCGUGUACUUGACCCUUACGCUGCCCAGGAGACUUUUUUUUCCCCCCCUUUUUUUUGUUUAUAAUACAGAUAGUCCUAAUUAGAGAUCCCAAGAAGACUUAGACAAUUCAUAUCAUUAGCAUUCCUCUCCACCCUACUUAGUUACACGUGAAGUACUACUUAGUAGUCAUCAAGGACACCUUCAGGAACAAUUAGAUGCUUUGGGGUAUUUAAAGUCAUAGAGGCUUUGAAGAUACUGUGAAGAAAACAGCAGUGAACACAGGGAGUAUUUAAGCUCAUGAUUUUGGGUUGUAUUUUCAAGGGUGUUAAAGUGCUUUUGUAAUUUCUGAUUUUGUUAUUUUUAUAUGUAUUCUUUUAGGUGGAGUGCAGCUUCCAGAAAUUCCAGCUUGUGUCAAGUACAGUGCCUUUUAUUUCAGCAGAUUCAUCUUGUCACAAAAGAUAUCUGCCCAGUGUCAAAGAUGAUGCUUGAGAUCGAAGCUUCAGCCACAGCCUUGGAAUCAGGAUGAAGCUGGAGACUCAAGGACCCAGGCACACUCAGGAGAGGAUGCAGAAAGAUAAAACCCAGGGCAAAAAUCCAUCCACCCAUCCUGGGUGAGGAGGUUCCCCCGAGCAGGUCAGUCACCGUCUCUGCAGGGGGAGUGCAAAGUAUGAGUCUGUUACAGCACUGUUUUUUGUCUUUUUUGGAAAUCAAGCUGGAUAUCAGCAGUCAAGGCAAGGCAAUCCACUCGGAGCAUGGCGAUCCCCCAUCGCCAACCGGCCGAUGGACCGGGUCUGCUGCUCCUGUGAGCCCUGUGGAAGUGUCACAGGACACAGUGAUGAAGCCUCUGCCUUUUCUAUUUAGAGGUGUCACCCGGGUAGCCUUCAGCAACG